UUUUCGUGGAGGAGGUUUAUUGCCUGUGGCUGAUCCGCCACCAGGAAGCUGGUCAUUUUGGGCAGCAUGAGCAUACAUGCCUCCCUGGAUUGGUUGUGACAAUCCAUCAAACUGCAUACUUUCUUCCACUCCAUGUCACCUGUAGCAGAAUGAACCUAUGACCCAAUUAUAAUGAGAGAAGCAGAUCAAAAGGUGAACUUAUCUCGAAGAAAGUCCAUCAAGAUGUAAGAAUGGUACAAGUUCCACAUUGAAUUCCCACUUUGGAUGGGAUAUGCUUGUGUAAUAGUAGGUAAAGGUCAUCAACGAACUGCAACAAUUAAGCUCCAAUCUAUUGACAAUUCAAUCUAUACCUAUAAAAAGGGCCGUGGAUGCUUCCUCUGCCAACAGGAGGAAGUUUUCUGAUAGGUGUAAGACAGAAACUGCCCCAGCGACACUCUUAUGGCUGUUUCCAACUGCAUACUCUGCUACACAUCUAAGCAAGGCAUUGAGGCAAUGUUUUCUUGUUGUGCAACAUAAAAUUUUGACGUGGUUUGACAUAACUUUACUAAUGUGCAUUGCACAUGAUUGACAGAGGUUAUAAAGUGUCUUCCCUUCCGUUAAUUAACACAUCUGCAUUCUAGUAAAAUUUUCUUUUUAAUGCAGAAUGAAGAAACAUAGAAUGUUGGAUUUGUUGUUGAGAUACCUUUCUCCUCCUCUCUUCUCUUCCUCCUUCUCCCUAUACUUUAAGACAAGAUCAAAGAACAAGAACAACAAAUAGCAUAAAGUGGGGGGAGAGAGGGAAUCACAGAUGAUACAAAUAUAAGACACACAAAAUACAGAAGAAUAAAAUAUAAGUAUAAUUCUCUCUCCCACUGAAAUUUCAAAGUUCAAGAAUUUGUGAAGAUUACCCAUUUCAUAUCAAGGCUCUAUUCACAAGUCACAUGCCUAAAGAGCUAGUUUCUGAUAUGGAUUUUCUGUCACAAGUGACAAUCGGGUUGGGUUUAGAUGAGGAACAAUGGUUGAGUUGUUCUCAUUAGGUGGUGGUGGUGGAGGUAGAGGAAGCAACCAAUAUGACCAACAUAACAAAUCACCAACUGAAAUCCCAUAAUAAAUGUAGUUUUGAUACAAAAAUGAAAACAUUCCUUAAGGUUUUUGAGCUAUGUUACAGGUUAAAAUUUCCCCAACAAAGGAUCCAAGUACACAACAAAAUCUUUAUUCUUCAACUACUAGAUUAAGGAUAGGUAGGUUGCAACAGGAGCUCAAUCAAGGUCUUCAAUAAGUCUUCAUUGAGAUCAACCUUCAUGAUGAUGAGGUCUAGUGGUGGAAGAGGAAGAAUGAAUUACCAAUAUUACAGCAACCGUGCAAAAAACGACAGCAUACUAGGACUUACUCAAGAGUAAAGGAUUUAAUUGCCAAACCCAUGUUAAAAAGCCCAUGGGUUCUUGCUACUAAGGCUGAGAGAGGCAACAAUGAUUUUCUUGCUUUGCAGCAAUAACAUCAACUUCAAUGCCAUAGAGAGAAUCCGAAAAGACGCAGAAAGAAUCCAAGCUCUUCCUUUCUUGCUUGCACUUUGCUUACCUAAGAAUGCUGCAGGGAAUUGAUAAUUAUGAUAUACAAGAAAAAUUUGUAUCUUGUUAACAAGACUUAAGUGACUAUGGGACUAAUUUACGAUGA
RNAcentral lists this long non-coding RNA (1653 nucleotides) under Manihot esculenta (cassava). RNAcentral describes it as "long non-coding RNA (MESC_LNC008118)". Lineage: Eukaryota; Viridiplantae; Streptophyta; Magnoliopsida; Malpighiales; Euphorbiaceae. The record is from RNAcentral.